This 254-nucleotide ribosomal RNA is filed under the name uncultured bacterium. RNAcentral's name for it is "partial 16S ribosomal RNA". It matches the Rfam family "Bacterial small subunit ribosomal RNA", at positions 524 to 776 of the family's 1533-position model. The record is from RNAcentral.
UACAGAGGAGCCAAGCGUUGUCCGGAUUGACUGGGCGUAAAGCGCACGCAGGCGGCACCGCGCGUGGGGUGUGAAAUCUGGCCGCUUAACGGCCAGGCGCCAUCCCAUACGGCGGAGCUGGAGUGAUGCAGAGGUCGGUGGAAUUGCCGGUGUAGUGGUGAAAUGCGUAGAUAUUCGCAAGAACACCAGUGGCGAAGGCGGCUCACUGGCCCGAUACUGACGCUGAUGUGCGAAAGCGUGGGGGAGCAAACAGG